GGAGGCGGAUAGGCUCUGGUGGGCCUUGCGGACUUCAAAUCCGUUGGCGGCGGUUAACCCGCCGCGGGGGGUUCGAUUCCCUCCCCCUCCGCCA
Molecule: transfer RNA, 94 nt
Filed under: Dehalococcoidia bacterium
Lineage: Bacteria; Bacillati; Chloroflexota; Dehalococcoidia
Description: tRNA-Sec
Rfam family: Selenocysteine transfer RNA
Source: RNAcentral